Molecule: long non-coding RNA, 1088 nt
Filed under: Salmo salar (Atlantic salmon)
Lineage: Eukaryota; Metazoa; Chordata; Actinopteri; Salmoniformes; Salmonidae
Description: lncRNA (ENSSSAG00000106364.1, ENSSSAG00000109320.1)
Source: RNAcentral
UUUUACUAUGUUACAUCUAGAGACCAGGCUGCUUCACUCCACAUUUUAAAUUACCUAAUUUUAACAAAUAUAUAUGAUGAGAAUAAUUUCAAGUACCAAUAUUAGUACCGCUGGCCUACUGCGUUCUUAAACCAGAAGCAUAACAUUGUGAGACUUCCGGGAAUGCCUGCGACACAGACCAAGCAGACAGACCAGGCCUAGGAUUGAGAAGUAAAUGUGCGCGUUUGAGUGGUAAACCGACUGUAGACGAAAUGUUAAAUGGCAGACAUGGAAUUCGCCUUUGUUAUUGCCGAUGAAGUGGAUGCCAUCGAAAUUCCACUUCUCCUACACGAAGCUGAACAUGAACAACACGGUCCAAGACAUGCAUAUCUUAAUAAGGAAAUUACAUACCAGCCCAAACUCUUUCUAACAUUCACAAGACUUGUUUUGUAUGUUUGUGAUGGUUUUCUCAAAAUAUAACCAGGUAGUAGUGAGUGCAUAGGCUACUAGAAUGAGAGGUGUUUUUGCAGCAUAUGGGAUUUGCCGCAUAUGGGUUUGCCAUUACUUCAUGCCCUUGCACCUUCCUCAUUAUUAUUUGUGAUUGUGCAACAUGGAAUUGUAACAGUCCACAAAUAUUCUUACUGUACGGUAAUUGAUUGCAUGUCAGCAUCACUACAGCCGGCAGUAAUUUUUAACCUUUAUGUAGCUUUUGUCAGUAAACAUGUGAAGAACAGAAUUUGAUUCAAUCACAUGUACAAAACACUCACUGUACAGAAAAGGAUUAGACUAUACAUGUACAUCAGGUCACAUAAAUUACUGGUUAAACAAUAUGAAAAGGAUUAGACUACAUGUACUAUACAUCAGUUCACAUAAUUUACUGUGUAAACAAUAUGCUAAGCAGUCAAAUGCACUUGGUAUUGACCCCACGACUGGUGUCUGGGGUACUUGCUCAUUAAGGGCAGGUUUCCCGGACACAGAUUAAGCCCCUAAAAUUAAGCCUUUAAAAUACCGUGCGGUGGUACAAACAGAAGUACACACACCACUCCAAUUAGCUAGGGUUUAGCUAGUUGAAAAGCGAAGCACAUGUGCGUCAAGUAUGGAAAAUGCAG